RNAcentral lists this ribosomal RNA (802 nucleotides) under uncultured Virgisporangium sp. RNAcentral describes it as "bacterial SSU rRNA". It matches the Rfam family "Bacterial small subunit ribosomal RNA", at positions 58 to 870 of the family's 1533-position model. The record is from RNAcentral. Lineage: Bacteria; Bacillati; Actinomycetota; Actinomycetes; Micromonosporales; Micromonosporaceae.
CAAGUCGAGCGGAAAGGCCCUCUUCGGGGGGUGCUCGAGCGGCGAACGGGUGAGUAACACGUGAGUAACCUGCCCUCAGCUUUGGGAUAACCCUCGGAAACGGGGGCUAAUACCGGGUAUUCACAUCGUGCGGCAUCGUGGGGUGUGGAAAGUUUUUGCGGCUGGGGAUGGGCUCGCGGCCUAUCAGCUUGUUGGUGGGGUGAUGGCCUACCAAGGCGGUGACGGGUAGCCGGCCUGAGAGGGCGACCGGCCACACUGGGACUGAGACACGGCCCAGACUCCUACGGGAGGCAGCAGUGGGGAAUAUUGCACAAUGGGCGGAAGCCUGAUGCAGCGACGCCGCGUGAGGGAUGACGGCCUUCGGGUUGUAAACCUCUUUCGACCCUGACGAAGCGUGAGUGACGGUAGGGGGAGAAGAAGCACCGGCCAACUACGUGCCAGCAGCCGCGGUAAGACGUAGGGUGCGAGCGUUGUCCGGAUUUAUUGGGCGUAAAGAGCUCGUAGGCGGCUCGUCGCGUCUGCCGUGAAAACCCGCAGCUCAACUGCGGGCUUGCGGUUGAUACGGGCGGGCUGGAGUUCGGUAGGGGAGACUGGAAUUCCUGGUGUAGCGGUGAAAUGCGCAGAUAUCAGGAGGAACACCGGUGGCGAAGGCGGGUCUCUGGGCCGAUACUGACGCUGAGGAGCGAAAGCGUGGGGAGCGAACAGGAUUAGAUACCCUGGUAGUCCACGCUGUAAACGUUGGGCGCUAGGUGUGGGGGGCCUCUCCGGUUCUCUGUGCCGCAGCUAACGCAUUAAGCGCCCC